Molecule: long non-coding RNA, 1648 nt
Organism: Xenopus laevis (African clawed frog)
Lineage: Eukaryota; Metazoa; Chordata; Amphibia; Anura; Pipidae
Exons: 5
Source: RefSeq, a predicted model, not a curated record
GGUACAAAUGAGGGACUGUCCUUCUAAAAACGGGACAGUUGGAAGGUUAUUGUACUCUGUCACUGUGGCCAGAGCAUUACACACACAGGGCCCCCUCCAUAUAAAACACCCGAAAAAACGACAGAAACCUAUAAAAAGUAAUUAAUACAAUACAGGGUGACUUAGCACACACACACUAAAGGAAAACGUGUUGAAACUGCAGUUAUUGUAGCCUAUAAAGUAUCUUUCAGACGUGAUUGGAUGAAACAGCAUAUGCAGCCCUCUAUUUGCUGCAAGUGAUUAGCCCGCCCCCUAGAUAAACUCGAUUGGCUGUUCUGGUUAGAACGAUGCAGGGAUUGGCUGGAAUGACUGGUGGGCGCGAUUAAAUGAGGCAACGGGCUGAAACAACAUUUGCAGCCCUCUAUUGGCUGCCAAUAAAUAGCUCGCCCCUACAGAAACACGAAUGGCUGUUCUAGUUGGAACUAUGCAAGGAUUGGCUGGUAUGACUUUGUGAGCGCGAUUGCAUGAGGCAACGUUGAGCAUAGCGAAAGGAUUGUUAGCAUGUGUAUUGGAAUGGGAAAGUAAUCUGAUGCUAGGUAGGGAGGGGUGGAGGCUGACCGACAGUGCAGGAAGGUACGUUAUAUAUCCGUGUGUCGCUAAGAGGAGGGACUAUGACAUACGCAGCAUAUCCAUUGUGGUCGUAGUUAAACCCAGGCCAUAACUUUUGCACGACGGGUUUUUUAUACCUCACAGCUUCCCCGUGCACCAGAUGCAUAGUGGCUCCUUCUACAUUUAUAUAAUCACGUGUCGUUUUGGUCGUGUGGCUUCCUGUCGGCGAUUGCGUCUAGCCGGGCUCACUUCCUGCUGGCAUAGUCACGUGGUACUGCGUUAAUCCAUAUGCCGACGGAAGUAGAGUGAUAAAAGAUGCUGGAGUUGCGUGGUUCUGUUAUCACGCGAGAAUACCUUUCUCUAAGGGGGUGCAGCAUUGGACGUAACUCUUCGAGCAUCCAUGAAAGGGCAUCUAGCUGGUGGGUACAUGCAAGGCCGCCUGUGCCCCACCCACCUUCGCGCCCAGACCCCGCCCACUCCACAUCACAGUUAAAAGACCACACAGACGUCAGUGCUAAAAAAGUAACCCCCCCCCCACAAGUUAUAAAAAGCUAUUGAUGUACAUUUAUGGCUUCAGUAUAGUACUGCUGAGUUUGAUGGAUCCAGAAGAACCUGUAAACAACCACUAGAUGUCACUGAGUAACCUUACAGCAAAUAUGGAAAAAAAAAAACCGUGGAAGAGCAUAGUCCAAUGGAGGAGAUUUUAGUUCUCCGUGUAAGAGAUGCUGUUUGGAAAAUCAAAGCCGUUGACUAUUUUCUUGGCCAUCACCAGUCAGUGGAUGAUUUCACUUAAAACUUGGCAGAGGAAAGGGGAGUUAAAAGAAUGCCCCAUGGCAGGCAUUUGAUUGUCGCUUCUUUCAGGUUCUCUCCUUUCAUCACAGCUGCUACAACAAAGAAGGCGGCAUUUAUUUUGCAGGAGAUGACGCUGUUAGAAAUCCAGGAGCAUGUGACAUAAGUAUGGUGUCCCUCCCCAAAUUGUACUGUUAAUUGUGAAGCGUAAUCUUUAAAUGUCUAUACCCUAGUUAUCUAUAAUGGCUAUGUUUUACAGUUUUUUUUUUUU